UACGUAGGGGGCUAGCGUUAUCCGGAUUCACUGGGUUUAAAGGGUGCGUAGGAGGGCAGGUAAGUCAGUGGUGAAAUCUCCAAGCUUAACUUGGAAACUGCCGUUGAUACUAUCUGUCUUGAAUAUUGUGGAGGUGAGCGGAAUAUGUCAUGUAGCGGUGAAAUGCUUAGAUAUGACAUAGAACACCAAUUGCGAAGGCAGCUCGCUACACAUAUAUUGACUCUGAGGCACGAAAGCGUGGGGAUCAAACAGG
RNAcentral lists this ribosomal RNA (253 nucleotides) under uncultured bacterium. RNAcentral describes it as "partial 16S ribosomal RNA". It matches the Rfam family "Bacterial small subunit ribosomal RNA", at positions 524 to 776 of the family's 1533-position model. The record is from RNAcentral.